ACUCAAAUGAAUUGACGGGGACCCGCACAAGCGGUGGAGCAUGUGGUUUAAUUCGACGAUACACGAAGAACCUUACCUGGACUUGACAUAGUAAGAACUUUCUAGAGAUAGAUUGGUGUCUGCUUGCAGAAACUUAUAUACAGGUGCUGCACGGCUGUCGUCAGCUCGUGUCGUGAGAUGUUGGGUUAAGUCCCGCAACGAGCGCAACCCUCGUCAUUAGUUGCUAACAGUUCGGCUGAGAACUCUAAUGAGACUGCCUACGCAAGUAGGAGGAAGGUGAGGACGACGUCAAGUCAUCAUGGCCCUUACGUCCAGGGCUACACACGUGCUACAAUGGGGUAUACAAAGAGCCGCAAUACGGUGACGUGGAGCAAAUCUCAAAAAUAUCUCCCAGUUCGGAUUGUAGUCUGCAACUCGACUACAUGAAGUUGGAAUCGCUAGUAAUCGUAGAUCAGCUAUGCUACGGUGAAUACGUUCCCGGGUCUUGUACACACCGCCCGU
Molecule: ribosomal RNA, 501 nt
Filed under: uncultured bacterium
Lineage: Bacteria
Description: partial 16S ribosomal RNA
Rfam family: Bacterial small subunit ribosomal RNA
Source: RNAcentral